UACGUAGGGGGCAAGCGUUGUCCGGAAUCAUUGGGCGUAAAGGGCGCGUAGGCGGAUAGUUAAGUCCGAUGUGAAAUACCAAGGCUCAACCUUGGGGCUGCAUCGGAAACUGGUUAUCUUGAGGACAGGAGAGGAAAGUGGAAUUCCACGUGUAGCGGUGAAAUGCGUAGAUAUGUGGAGGAACACCAGUGGCGAAGGCGACUUUCUGGACUGUAACUGACGCUGAGGCGCGAAAGCGUGGGGAGCAAACAGG
RNAcentral lists this ribosomal RNA (253 nucleotides) under uncultured bacterium. Its description in RNAcentral is "partial 16S ribosomal RNA". It matches the Rfam family "Bacterial small subunit ribosomal RNA", at positions 524 to 776 of the family's 1533-position model. The record is from RNAcentral.